Molecule: ribosomal RNA, 244 nt
Filed under: uncultured bacterium
Lineage: Bacteria
Description: partial 16S ribosomal RNA
Rfam family: Bacterial small subunit ribosomal RNA
Source: RNAcentral
UUUUUCCUACGGGGGGCAGCAGUAGGGAAUCUUCCACAAUGGACGAAAGUCUGAUGGAGCAACGCCGCGUGAGUGAAGAAGGGUUUCGGCUCGUAAAGCUCUGUUGGUAGUGAAGAAAGAUAGAGGUAGUAACUGGCCUUUAUUUGACGGUAAUUACUUAGAAAGUCACGGCUAACUACGUGCCAGCAGCCGCGGUAAUACGUAGGUUGCAAGAGUUUGCCGGAUUUAUUGGGCGUAAAGCGAG